Molecule: ribosomal RNA, 253 nt
Filed under: uncultured bacterium
Lineage: Bacteria
Description: partial 16S ribosomal RNA
Rfam family: Bacterial small subunit ribosomal RNA
Source: RNAcentral
UACGGAGGGAGCUAGCGUUAUUCGGAAUUACUGGGCGUAAAGCGCACGUAGGUGGCUUUGUAAGUUAGAGGUGAAAGCCUGGAGCUCAACUCCAGAAUUGCCUUUAAGACUGCAUCGCUUGAAUCCAGGAGAGGUGAGUGGAAUUCCGAGUGUAGAGGUGAAAUUCGUAGAUAUUCGGAAGAACACCAGUGGCGAAGGCGGCUCACUGGACUGGUAUUGACGCUGAGGUGCGAAAGCGUGGGGAGCAAACAGG